Molecule: ribosomal RNA, 374 nt
Filed under: uncultured organism
Description: bacterial SSU rRNA
Rfam family: Bacterial small subunit ribosomal RNA
Source: RNAcentral
CGUAGGGCGCGAGCGUUGUCCGGAUUUAUUGGGCGUAAAGAGCUCGUAGGCGGCUUGUCGCGUCGACUGUGAAAACCCGUGGCUCAACCAUGUGGUCUGCAGUCGAUACGGGCAGGCUAGAAUUCGGUAGGGGAGACUGGAAUUCCUGGUGUAGCGGUGAAAUGCGCAGAUAUCAGGAGGAACACCGGUGGCGAAGGCGGGUCUCUGGGCCGAUAUUAACGCUGAGGAGCGAAAGCGUGGGGAGCGAACAGGAUUAGAUACCCUGGUAGUCCACGCUGUAAACGUUGGGCGCUAGGUGUGGGGGGCCUCUCCGGUUCUCUGUGCCGCAGCUAACGCAUUAAGCGCCCCGCCUGGGGAGUACGGCCGCAAGGCUA